UGGUGAUGAGGAUUAAUGCGCUUCAGUGAUGAUCAGGGUUCAUCACAACCAUCUGAUAGAGAGAUGUCUUAAAAGUGCUUCUGAGCCA
Zingiber officinale is the source of this 88-nucleotide small nucleolar RNA. RefSeq annotates it as small nucleolar RNA snoR114. The record is from RefSeq and is a predicted model, not a curated record. NCBI's taxonomy places the organism in Eukaryota, Viridiplantae, Streptophyta, Magnoliopsida, Zingiberales, Zingiberaceae. The transcript has a single exon.